Molecule: ribosomal RNA, 469 nt
Filed under: uncultured bacterium
Lineage: Bacteria
Description: bacterial SSU rRNA
Rfam family: Bacterial small subunit ribosomal RNA
Source: RNAcentral
AACGAACGCUGGCGGCGCGCCUAAUACAUGCAAGUCGAGCGAGAAGACGUAGCAAUACGUUUGUAAAGCGGCGAACGGGUGAGGAAUACAUGGGUAACCUACCCUCGAGUGGGGAAUAACUAGCCGAAAGGUUAGCUAAUACCGCGUACGCUCCUUGGACUUCGGUUCAUGGAGGAAAGCGAUACCGUGGGUAUCGCGCUCUUGGAUGGGCUCAUGUCCUAUCAGCUUGNGGUGAGGUAACGGCUCACCAAGGCUUCAACGGGUAGCUGGUCUGAGAGGACGAUCAGCCACACUGGCACUGCGACACGGGCCAGACUCCUACGGGAGGCAGCAGUAAGGAAUAUUGCGCAAUGGGCGAAAGCCUGACGCAGCGACGCCGCGUGGGGGAUGAAGGUCUUCGGAUUGUAAACCCCUUUCGGGAGGGAAGAUGGAACGAGCAAUCGUUCGGACGGUACCUCCAGAAGCAGCC